This 895-nucleotide ribosomal RNA is filed under the name uncultured bacterium. RNAcentral describes it as "bacterial SSU rRNA". It matches the Rfam family "Bacterial small subunit ribosomal RNA", at positions 28 to 897 of the family's 1533-position model. The record is from RNAcentral.
GACGAACGCUUGCGGCGUGCCUGAGAAAUGCAAGUCGAGCGGGCUUACCGGGAGAACCGAGGGGUUCUUCCGCAGUGAGGGGGACCCUUGGGUUCUCCUGGUAAGCUAGCGGCGAACGGUUGAGGAACACGUAAGGAACCUGCCCUGAAGACGGGGAUAAGCCAUCGAAAGGUGGUCUAAUACCGGAUGAGCCGGGAGGGGGGCAUCCCCCUUCCAGGAAAGGGAGCAAUCCGCUUCAGGAGGGCCUUGCGGCCUAUCAGCUAGUUGGUGGGGUAACGGCCUACCAAGGCGACGACGGGUAGCUGGUCUGAGAGGAUGGUCAGCCAGACUGGGACUGAGACACGGCCCAGACUCCUACGGGGGGCAGCAAUCAGGGAUCUUGCGCAAUGGGCGAAAGCCUGACGCAGCGACGCCGCGUGGGUGAGGAAGUCCCUCGGGAUGUAAGCCCUUUUGUCGGGGACGAUAAUGACGGUACCCGACGAAUAAGCCCCGGCUAACUACGUGCCAGCAGCCGCGGUAAUACGUAGGGGGCGAGCGUUGUCCGGAGUUACUGGGCGUAAAGGGCGCGUAGGCGGAUGCUUAAGUUGUCAGUGAAAGCCCCCGGCUCAACCGGGGAGAGUCUGGCAAGACUGGGCGUCUGGAGGACAGUAGAGGAGAGUGGAAUUGCUGGUGGAGCGGUGGAAUGCGUAGAGAUCAGCAGGAACACCCGUGGCGAAGGCGGCUCUCUGGACUUGUCCUGACGCUGAGGCGCGAAAGCUGGGGGAGCGAACGGGAUUAGAUACCCCGGUAGUCCCAGCCGUAAACGAUGGUCACUAGGUGUGGGAGGUAUCGACCCCUUCCGUGCCGGAGCUAACGCAAUAAGUGACCCGCCUGGGGAGUACGGCCGCAAGGUUGA